UGACCUGGCGGCAGGCCUAACACAUGCAAGUCGAGCGGAGCGACAUCAACAAUCCUUCGGGUGCGUUGAUGGGCGGCGAGCGGCGGACGGGUGAGUAAUGCCUGGGAACAUCGCCUUAGUGUGGGGGAUAACCAUUGGAAACGAUGGCUAAUACCGCAUAAUCUCUACGGAGCAAAGCGGGGGACCUUCGGGCCUCGCGCGCUAAGAUUGGCCCAGGUGGGAUUAGCUAGUAGGUGGGGUAACGGCUCACCUAGGCGACGAUCCCUAGCUGGUCUGAGAGGAUGAUCAGCCACACUGGAACUGAGACACGGUCCAGACUCCUACGGGAGGCAGCAGUGGGGAAUAUUGCACAAUGGGGGAAACCCUGAUGCAGCCAUGCCGCGUGUGUGAAGAAGGCCUUCGGGUUGUAAAGCACUUUCAGCAGUGAGGAAGAGUUGGUGUUUAAUAGAUGCCAUCUUUGACGUUAGCUGCAGAAGAAGCACCGGCUACUCCGUGCCAGCAGCCCGCGGUAAUACCGA
This 518-nucleotide ribosomal RNA is filed under the name Vibrio sp. SIGA198. Its description in RNAcentral is "bacterial SSU rRNA". It matches the Rfam family "Bacterial small subunit ribosomal RNA", at positions 36 to 529 of the family's 1533-position model. Lineage: Bacteria; Pseudomonadati; Pseudomonadota; Gammaproteobacteria; Vibrionales; Vibrionaceae. The record is from RNAcentral.